Magnolia sinica is the source of this 3232-nucleotide long non-coding RNA. RefSeq lists it as uncharacterized. The transcript is spliced from 4 exons. Lineage: Eukaryota; Viridiplantae; Streptophyta; Magnoliopsida; Magnoliales; Magnoliaceae. The record is from RefSeq and is a predicted model, not a curated record.
CUAACCCAUGCAAUGUGGGGCCUGGGCUAUGCGAUGAAGGGAUUAAUUCGCCAUAAUCUAACAGUUCGAGCUUUUAGAGCAUAUGGUUAAUUGUCCUGCAUCAGACACUGAAAAUUCUGAAUUGUUGACUUUCUAAUUCCCAAUGCACUGUAAAAUGUAUGGCCUGCUUCAUGAAUCCGUGUAACAUCCAGUGUAAAAUUCUACAGUCCAUAUCCCUUGUUGUUGUCUGUAGUUCCACAUGGUCUUGAAGGUGGAUAGAACUGUUGUAUUUGCCCAACUGUUGCUAUAUGUUUUGAGUGAUUUCAACUUCCGCUGUUUUUUUUUUUUUUUUCUUGGAUGAAAAGUUUUUAUUUUUAUUUUUAUUUUUUUACGAUUUUCCAUUGCUAAUGCAUUUAAAAGAUAAUUCCAAAGAACUAUGGGUCCAUUUAUGCAUUGAAGGAUGUUAUUAUUCAAUAACACACUUACCUUGAUUAUACAUACUGUAUAAUGAAGUAAAUUCCAAAGAACUAUGGGUCCAUUUAUGCAAAUUGAAAACCUGUACAUGCCAUAUAAAUUCUGUUUGAGCACUGUUAACUAGCUCCUUUUUUGUUACUGGAUUGCUUUCUAUGGUUGGCUGAUUUAUUUGGCAAACAGAACAUUUAAACACCAUAAUUUCAUCAAGGAAUGCAAAUGGAACUCGAACAAAUGAGAUGGAGAAGGGGCCUAGCAGCACAUGUGCUAUCCUCGUACAGUUGUAAGAAAAUGAGCAAAGGGCAGCUGGUGGUUGAACUAAAAAUCAGGCCGGCCUGCUUAUCAGGUUGCAACUUAACAAAUUUUGAAUGUCUACAAAUCUAUGGUUGUCUCCAUUUACAAAGGGGAUGCAAGAAGGAGAAAGGUAAUGAUGGGCACAAGAUUGCACACAUCUCAGACAUUCAGAUUGGAUGGCCGCCUGAUUUUAAGCACCACUUCUUGCUCAACCUUAUCAAUAGGAUGAGUUUCGAUUUGAGUUUGUGAGUUUUAGAACUAUGCCAUGCAUAGUUGUGUUUGUUUUAUCAUUUUUAUUCAAUUUUGUUUCAAAACAAUGGAUCCUUGAAAAUUUUCUUGGAGCAAAAUCGUUUUUAAAGUAUGAUAAAUGUUAGCUAAGCUUGAAAACUAGUUAUAGCAUUCGACUGAGACACUAAUUCCAUUCUCCAGGCUAAAGAUGAUCAUAGUAGUUACACCAGCUUUUUUUUUUGCCUUCAUCACAUCUACUAAGUCGUUCACAAGGACUUUUUGUUAUUUUGGCAAGAAUAACCAUUAACCAUGUUCACUGCACAAAAAUUGGUCUAAGUGGAACAGUAGCCUGUGAUCUAACUGCUCAUCUGGUGGGGCACUCACAAUGAGCUGAGGUAGAAAAAAUCCCAGUGAACAGACAAUCUUAACUGUCUGAAUCAUAGACCAUGGAAAAAAAAAAGAAAAAAAAGAAGGAAACAAUCAGCAUCAAUUAGAAAAAAGCAAAAGAAGACGGGUAGGAAUAGGAUCAUCCAAUCCAUGUGACUUUUGGAAAGUGGUCGAGCCAUAGUGCGACAUACAUCAACAAGUGGUCCAGCUCACCAGACGCAUGACUGACAAUCUAAUUUUGCCAAGCGUGCUAAAAAAAAUGUGAACUGAGCAAGGAUCAAAAUCCACUUAAUGCCCAUCUUAACUUAAUCUAUUUUAUUGGGUACUAAUUCUCAACUGCAAAGUACAACUGCAGUUAUCAAUAUCCAAAAGAAAAUUGUAAAGGAAUGCCAAAAAUCAUAAAUAUAAAAUCUCAAUGAUAAAAGCAACAUCUCAGAGAACAGAUGAAAUGAGGAGAAAGUGAGUUUUUAGGUUGUAGAAGAGUGUCCUAUUUCAUGGGAUUGCUAUUUACUAGUUUUACUUCUUUUCCAUUACUCUAACCACUAUGUUAUAUGCAGGUACCUAUGGUCUCCUAUAUAUUUGUUGUAUAUGAUUACUUGGAACUGAAUGUGCAAGCCUUCAUUACUAGCUGUAGUUGCUACAUCCAUCUAAUUGAUGGAUGAAUGGAAUGGUUUAUUUGAAUGUAAAACUGUCAUGAUAUGUUCGUGUGAUGUGUGGACAGUCUCUGUAGUCAUUUCACACCCGUUUAUUGUACUUAAUACUUUCUGCAAAAUGCACUUAUCCAUAGUGCUUUCAACUUGAUUUUGAUAUAUUCUUUGGUGACGUCAAGAUCUUAUAUAUAUGGCUUUUAUCAUCUAUGCAAAACACACUUAUACAUAGUGCUUUCAAAUUGAUUUUGAAACCCAGCAUUGUUUCAAGAAGAACCUUCAUUCUGUUUCAUGAACAGUGCAUGGAAAACUACAAGUGAUGAGCUUUUUUGUUGUAUUAGAAAGAAAAAUUAUUAGGAGAUGUCUGAGCGAGGCACAUGGCAUAAUUAUAAGUCCUAUCUCUCCAUAUGUCACAUUAGUUAUAUAUGAAAAGAUCAUCAACUAUCUACCCUGUUUCAAUCUAGAAAAGAAAAAGCAGUAUUUGGUCUAGCUGGAUGUAUCUGACUAAUAAAUUGGAAUUUUUUAUUUAGUAAAUGUUUUCUUGAUGUACAUGCACUGUAGUUCCAUUGAAUUCUCAACCCUAUAAUCAUUCCGGCGAUUAUAAUGCAAGAAAUGGUUUGUUUCUGUUUAAAGUGGCUAGGAGAUGUAAAAAUGUGAAUUUUCUUGUUCUGGAAAUAAAUAAGAAGGUAAAUAUUUCUUUUUUCUUUUUAAUUGGUGAAAGCAACUUUCAUGCUUUAACAAAUUUCGAUCUGGUGAAGCUUGUGAAAGGAUGUCUAGAUUUUGUUCAACAACUAGGCUUGAAGAAUUUGACAUAUCUUCAUCCUUCAACCUCAUUAUCGUUGUCUUGAAGACUAUAAUUUUGUUUGUGCCUCUGCCUGCAAGUUUUACAAGGCCAUUAUGUUGAUUGGGAAGGAGGGCAGUAAGGGCUAUUGGAAAGGCAAUCUAGCACAGGAAAGGAUGGGGAGAGCUCUGUUGUUGGGUGACUGGAAGUAGGGGCUUGAGCUGGUGACCCACCAUCAAGUCCAAUUUCAAUCUUUUUCUUUUCUUUUCUUUCACUAUAUGAUACUUUCUAUUGUUGCUUGAAUAUACAUUGCAGCCAUUUUAUUUUUAUUUUUUUCCGGAAAUUGUUCUCCCUGGUUCUUAGUAUACCCUUGUUUGUACAAUAGAGGCAUUAUAUUCCUACCAUUUACAUUUGGAAUUUGAAUGUGAAAAUUGUUAUUUAUUUA